RNAcentral lists this non-coding RNA (121 nucleotides) under bovine gut metagenome. RNAcentral's name for it is "FMN riboswitch (RFN element)". It matches the Rfam family "FMN riboswitch aptamer (RFN element)". From Rfam's summary of the family: The RFN element is a highly conserved domain that is found frequently in the 5'-untranslated regions of prokaryotic mRNAs that encode for flavin mononucleotide (FMN) biosynthesis and transport proteins. This element is a metabolite-dependent riboswitch that directly binds FMN in the absence of proteins. In Bacillus subtilis, the riboswitch most likely controls gene expression by causing premature transcription termination within the 5' untranslated region of the ribDEAHT operon and precluding access to the ribosome-binding site of ypaA mRNA. The record is from RNAcentral.
GUCUUCAGGGCAGGGUGAAAUUCCCGAUCGGCGGUACAGUCCGCGAGCGAUGCUGCGCUGGCAGCAAAGCAGAACCGGUUCGAUUCCGGUACCGACAGUGAAAGUCUGGAUGGAAGAAGAU